Molecule: ribosomal RNA, 304 nt
Filed under: uncultured bacterium
Lineage: Bacteria
Description: partial 16S ribosomal RNA
Rfam family: Bacterial small subunit ribosomal RNA
Source: RNAcentral
CAGCAGUAGCCGCGGGAAUACGGAGGGUGCAAGCGUUAAUCGGAAUUACUGGGCGUAAAGCGCACGCAGGCGGUCUGACAAGUCAGAUGUGAAAUCCCCGGGCUUAACCUGGGAACUGCAUUUGAAACUGUCAGACUGGAGUCUUGUAGAGGGGGGUAGAAUUCCAGGUGUAGCGGUGAAAUGCGUAGAGAUCUGGAGGAAUACCGGUGGCGAAGGCGGCCCCCUGGACAAAGACUGACGCUCAGGUGCGAAAGCGUGGGGAGCAAACAGGAUUAGAUACCCGCGUAGUCCCUGUCUCUUAUAC